CGGGAGCAGGGGAGGAGGGCGCCCCGACAGGUGAGCGGCCCAGGACAGGACCAGGAGCCCGUCACGCCCGAGCGCCACUCUGCCGGGCCCGGCUUUGGGAGGCCACGCAGCUAACGGGGGGGUUAAGGGUUCCCGUUACUUUGGUCGUGGUCACCUUGUUUUCCCCUCAUUUUACACAGGUGUAGAGGACGACAUGACGGACACAAGAGUAGCAAGGAAAAGAAAAAAGGGAUAGAAGUAAGUGGACGAAAAAGACACUGGAAACGGUGGUGAAAGGACGUCUCAGUUUCUCACUGCCCCGUUGUCAUAGGGGCCCUGGCAAAUGCCAGACCUCAGCUGCGGAUCUGCAGUCGUGAGCCGCUCGGGGGCAGACAGCAAGGUACCUACCAGGCUUGGGCUCGGCCCUCUCCAUCCCUCUGCGCCGGAGCCGCUCCUGGUAGAUCUGCGUGCCCGUCAUGAGCUGGUACCGCGGGGGCUCGGCGCUGGGGUCCCUCGGCACCAGCCGCAGGUCCUGCUCGGCCAUGAGCCUGAUCACGUUCGCUCGGUGCAUGGGGCCCAGGUCGUUGCCCUUCUCGUCCAGCACCUGAAUGAUGCGCUCGUUAAUUUUUCUUCCAACGUUACGAAAAGCUGUUUCAUUCUUUUUUUUCUUUUCUCUCUUGUCCUGGGUGUCUUCAGUACUAAAAGCUUUUGCGUGAAUGAGGCAGGACGGUCUUGGGGCAGAGGCAAUGUGGGAUGGCUCCGCCAGCGCCGUCUUUUGUACGACGUAUUUACCCAAACAUCUUCUAAUGCAAGUAUUUUCCGUUUUUAUAGUUUGUAAUGUUAACCUCUUUAGAAAAAGGGCAGCCAUCCUAAAAAGCAGGGAGAAAAGCUCACUGAAGUCCGAUCGCUCAUUCCCGUGGGCCGGUGCUGUGGAGCAUGGAGGGCGUGUGCGAGCCUGUGGGAACCUCACCUGUGAACGUUGCAGGUCCGUGCACAGGAAACGUCAAAGUUAUCUUAGUUGACCCCGUUCCCCAUGGAUCUCACAGUGCCAGCUCCAAAAGCAGGUGUCACCCUAAGGGUUUAUUUAGGAUGAUGCAGAAUCUUGAAUCCCUGCUGACUCACAGACACCUCUUCGUGAACGUAAUGAACAACUUAUCAAUACAUCUGAUGGCCUACAAAAGGUAAGAACACUGUUAUGGGAAGGGGGACCCUCCAGGAAGACAGCGGACCCCCUGGAAGAAUGAACUGGGACUCUCAGAAAGGAAAUGCCCCGACAUUAAAGGGGCCUCAUAAACUACAUCCAUCACUCACAAGGCAGGUGCUGCAUCCCUGCCAAAGGUGAGCUAAAGCGCCAGGCGCGUGUGGUCUGACUUCAUGGCUACGAACGCUGCACUUAGAAGGGGCAUUCUGAUGUUUUAGUUGCUUGUCCACCAUAAUAAGUGUCCCUCCUACCAUCCACACGACAGGUAGACCUGAGAAGUGUCUGAGGGAGUGAUGAGAGGACCCGUUCAUCUCAUCUAGGGUUUGCUGAGAAACACGAGAGAAUCAAGAACUCAGAGAGGUCUGUCACUCUGGCUCCAACCCCCCAGCCCCGCCCCGAAUGCCACCCUUGCAGAGAUAACUGCCCACCCAGCUCCUCCACGCAGAUGCCCAGCGGGCACCCUCAGAUCCCAUUGUUCGCCCUCUAAAAAUCAGCAGGAUCCAAGCACUCCUCGCCUUCUCCCUUGCUGUCUAUCGCCUGCCCCUGAAAUGCCAUCGUCUCUCACCGGGAUCAGGUCCCAGCCUCCUGACCACCCUCCCCGCUGCUGCCCCUGCCCCUUAAAACGUGGAAGUCAGGCCGCGGCGCUCCUCUGCUCACAGCCCUCCGCGGCCCCCACCUCCUCCAGAGCCCCCGGGACCAGGCCCCCACCCACCCCUGCCCACAGCACCCACCCCGCUUCUUGCGCUCCCUGCGCCAACCGCACGGGCCUCCUGCUGUUCCUGUGAACGCCAGACGCGCCCUCCCCCCAGCCCCCGCCCCGGGUGGGAUCCUCUCCCUCAGACGAUGCCAGCUCAUUUACUUCUCGGCGAGGCCUUCCCUGUCCACUCUGUCAACGGCACAUCCCAUCCUUUCAAACCCACGACCUUGCCUUUUAAAGAGAUUCACUGCCGACAUACAUUGAUCUACACAUGAACACUCAACAGUCUUUCCUCACUGGAACGUAAGCUUCGUGAGAAAACGUCACGUGUCUACUUCGUUCGCCGCCGUGCUCCUCACACUGGCGCCUACAGCCUGUCUCAGUACGUACAGCCGUCCUCGGUAUCCACGUGGGACUGGUUCCAGGACACCUGGCACGGACACCAAAAUCCAAGGAUGCUCAAGUCCCUUAUAUAAAGUGCUGUAGUGUUUGCACGUAACCUAUGCACACCCUCCUGUACACUUCGAAUCAUCUCUAGAUUACUUAUAAUACCUAAUACAAUGGAAAUGAUAUAUAAAUAGUUGCCUGGCACAGUUGCUUUUUGGAACUUUCUGGCAAUUUUUUCUCUUUCGAGUAUUUUCAGUCAUGGUUGCAGCCACGGAUGUGGAACCUGUGGAUACGGAGGGCUGACCGUAUGUGCCGAAUGACUGCGUGAGCCCAAGGAAACGGCCAGGAGGCAGGCGGCGUCUGCAGGCAAGUCUCCAGGUCGUCAGCAAUUAUGCUUCAACACUAGCUAAAUUUUGGCUUUGGAUCAGCAAAGAGGAAGAUAACACCUGUUUCUUCAAAAUAAACUCUUCAUAGAUAAAAAUAUAAAUAACAGAGUUAGGGAAAAACCUGUGAUAUGAAAUUUGAAUUGGAAAUAUCAACAUAAAUUCAAGUAAUUGAGAAACUUAUUAGGAAAAUUCUCAAGCAUAUACAGAAAAAACAGCAAAAUAAAGGUCUAAGCACCCAUCACUCAGCUCCUUGAUUCGCAGCAUGUGGUCCAACAGGCUUUCUCUCCACCAGCAACUACUCCCGGGACCCCAGCAUCCGUGAACUACUUCCGAGUAAAUCCUGUGUCAUCAGUAAACACUCCAGUAAGAGCUGAGGACUCUUGUAUAUUUUGAAUAAACACAAUAACACAUUCCCAACUGAUAAUCAGUCCUCUAUAUGUUCAAAUAUCCAGUCUUCAGGUUUCCCUGAUAGUAUUACCAUUUUGUUUACAUUUUAUUUACGCUUUGAUCAUAUGAAGAGACUCCCACGGGCCAAAUGUGUGAUAAUUUAAACAUCAGUGACUGAAAUUCAUUUCAACACACCGAAUAUGCAAAAAUCUAUGAAAAAGAAACAGUUAGCCACAACUGUAUGUGACUGCUACCCUGACUCCUUACUCUGGAAACUGGUCAUUGAAAAAGAACGAAGCGUUUAUCCUACCUCUUUAAGAAGAACUGUAAUCAUCCCUAGUUGAUGAAGAAAAGCGUCCUUUAGAGGAGAAUGCCAGCUAAUACAUGGAGAAGAAAAGUAAAAGUAAUUUGAAAACCACCAUUUUGCCACCUCCAAUCAAAUCACUGACUCAGGCAAGGAUGGAUGCAAAAAUCAUUAGGUAAAAAGCUGAUGAGGAAACAAGGUAUUCAAGAGGUGCCAAAGGGUGACCCAAAGAAUACUUCCAGACUGAAGCGGGAAAUGCGCGCUCUGGCCGUCACCCCGUAACAGAGGUCAGACUCAGCAUCCUGACAGUCUAACACUCACCUCUUCACGUGAUGGAUGGUCCUUCCGUGAAGCAGUCCUGCCAGAAAGGUUAAACCUGAACCGCGUCAAGCCUCUAGACUUAGCGUCUAGUUUCCAAGGAUACAAGGGCCAGACUAGAGAGGAAUGAAUGAGAUGACACUACAAGGAAACAGUCUGACAAGUCCAGACUGUGGGACAAAACCACUGCCCUCAAGUCUUAAAAAAAGAAAAGUCAGUGUCCCUGGGAACUUGAAUUAAAAGACUAUGGAGGGCUUCCCUGGUGGCGCAGUGGUUGAGAGUCUGCCUGCCAAUGCAGGGGACACGGGUUCGAGCCCUGGUCUGGGAAGAUCCCACGUGCCGCGGAGCAACUGGGCCCAUGAGCCACAACUACUGAGCCUGCGCGUCUGGAGCCUGUGCUCCGCAACGGGAGAGGCCGCGACAGUGAGAGGCCCGCGCACCGCGAUGAAGAGUGGCCCCCGCUUGCCGCAACUAGAGAAAGCCCUCACACAGAAAUGAAGACCCAACACAGCCAAAAAUAAAUAAAUUAAAAAAAAAAAAAAAAGACUAUGGAGACAUAUGGGACUUCCCUGGUGGCGCAGUGGUUAAGAAUCCACCUCCCAAUGCAGGGGACACGGGUUCGAGCCCUGGUCCAGGAGGAUCCCACAUGCCGCGGAGCAACUAAGCCCAUGUGCCACAACUACUGAGCCUGUGCUCUAAAGCCCACGAGCCACAACUACUGAGCCCACAUGCAACAAUUACUGAGCCCACAAGCCACAACUACUGGAGCCUGUGCUCUGCAACAAGAGAAGCCACUGUAAUGAGAAGCCCACGCACCGCAACAAAGAGCAGCCCCUGCUCACCGCAACUAGAGAAAGCCCACGCGCAGCAGCCCACGCGCAGCAACGAAGAACCAACAGCGGCCAAAAAUAAAUUAAUAAAUUUUUUUAAAAAAUUAAAAGACUGUGGAGACAUAAUCAUAAAAUUCAGUGUGUUUGAGAAAAAAGCAACCAAAAAGACAUAUGGGGGUAAAGGGAGAAAUAUCUGCAUAUGGGCUAGAUUCGUGAUGGAUUAGAUACUAUCAGAGAAGUAUUGUUAAUUUUCUCAACUGUGGAAAUGGCAUUCUUAGGAACUCCUUAGGGAGCGUGUCAUGACAUCUGCAGCUUACUUUGAAAUGGUUCGGCAGAAAAUAUAAAUGCAAUUAUGGCAAAAUCCGCAGACUCUAGGUUAUGGUUAUAUGAGUGUUUACUUAUUAAUCUUUCAACUUUUCUGUAUGUUUAAAUUUUUUUCAUAAUUAAAAAGGUGUUUUUUAAAAAGAAUCAACAACCUACAAGGAGGAAAAAGUUCACUAGUCAUGCCAAUAUGACUAUCCCAGUCUGUGUAAGUUGUACAUUUACUGUAAUUUAAUAAACGGGCACUCUGGCUUUAUAUAUCUUUAAAAAAAAAAAUUCCCUUCAUUAGUUGUAAGUCUGUGUCUAAGUGGAGCCUAUGUGCAAGGAACUUCACAAACUUAACGGCUGAUUUUUUUUUAAUGCAAAUUGCCUUUUUUUCUCCAUCUGGUUUUCAUCAAAUCAAGUCUAAAAG
Long non-coding RNA from Balaenoptera ricei (Rice's whale), 5222 nucleotides. RefSeq lists it as uncharacterized. The transcript is spliced from 4 exons. Lineage: Eukaryota; Metazoa; Chordata; Mammalia; Artiodactyla; Balaenopteridae. The record is from RefSeq and is a predicted model, not a curated record.